CAGCCGCCGCGGGAAUACGUAGGUGGCAAGCGUUGUCUGGAAUUAUUGGGCGUAAAGGGCUCGCAGGCGGUUUCUUAAGUCUGAUGUGAAAGCCCCCGGCUCAACCGGGGAGGGUCAUUGGAAACUGGGAAACUUGAGUGCAGAAGAGGAGAGUGGAAUUCCACGUGUAGCGGUGAAAUGCGUAGAGAUGUGGAGGAACACCAGUGGCGAAGGCGACUCUCUGGUCUGUAACUGACGCUGAGGAGCGAAGGCGUGGGGAGCGAACAGGAUUAGAGACCCCCGUAGUCCCUGUCUCUUAUAC
This 301-nucleotide ribosomal RNA is filed under the name uncultured bacterium. RNAcentral describes it as "partial 16S ribosomal RNA". It matches the Rfam family "Bacterial small subunit ribosomal RNA", at positions 509 to 807 of the family's 1533-position model. The record is from RNAcentral.